Alligator mississippiensis (American alligator) is the source of this 1068-nucleotide long non-coding RNA. RefSeq lists it as uncharacterized. The record is from RefSeq and is a predicted model, not a curated record. The transcript has 3 exons. NCBI's taxonomy places the organism in Eukaryota, Metazoa, Chordata, Crocodylia, Alligatoridae.
UCCCCCUCCACUCCCCUGCUUGCUCUGUAAAUUAUGUCCAGUUUUUACUUACAACGAGAAGGUGCCUGGCAUGAUAAAUUCAGAACUCAGCAAUUCCCUGCUCCCCUACCCCUCGCAUGGAGAGAACUAGUUAAUGGGCCAUUAACUAGAGGAGGGGAGCACUGCAGCAGCUGCAAGCAAAAAGAACACCACCAAACAACAAGAGAAGUUUCAGGGCGAAAGCCCUGGAGACGCAGACAUAAAGACUUGGCCAUCAGCAUGGAAAUCAGUUUCCGGCAGGAUGGAGCAAUGACAAGAGGAAGAUAAAAGAAGACAACCAAAUGAGCCUCAGAGGCCCACAACAUCCAAAUUGCAAGGGCCAUGUUGAGGCUGCCAACAGGGGACAAAGCAGAGAUGUUCAGAGCUAAGAUCCUGUUCUUGUUGAAGCUCUGUGGUAUUGAGAGCUGCGUGUGGGUUCAGCUACAUUAUGAAAAUAAAGCCGGCUGGGAAAUCUAGGGCUCUAGCUACAAACUUCCCCAGAACAAAGAAUUGUUCAGCUCAUAAAGUAUGGCCAGCACUCAUGAUUUUAUAGCAUACCUCAUUUGCUUGGCUUCUUAAGAUGCCAGUUCUUGAAGCCAGGUGAUUAUGACAAGGUUUCACCUUCAAUUAAAAACACAAAGUUUCUGGACCUCGUGGUUGCAGUAAAAAGAAUUAAAUACACAGUGCCCAAAGCCUCACAUUUGAGAAGGCCAGUACAAAAGAUCAUACUUUAAACAAACUCACCAUUUUUGAGUAUUUAGAGUUGGUCACUAUAUAAAUAUAAGAGGGAGCUUGGAAAUUCAGAGACCUACCCACAUUUUUUUCUGUAGUUCAAGGCUACUUGUAUCCAGGGCUAUCAUCUGAGUCUUAUUUUAUAUAAACUCUUGUCAGUAGAUCAAACAGAAGUAAGGAGCAAAAUGCAGAAGUUUCUGGGUGAUGUUUCAUGGCCUCCAUUAUGCAGCAGGUCACUCUGGAGGAUCAGAACAUUCCCAUCUGACUUUAAAAAUCCAUGAAUCAAUAAACCUGCACUUGUGAGUUCUCUAUUACCCA